RNAcentral lists this ribosomal RNA (443 nucleotides) under uncultured bacterium. Its description in RNAcentral is "bacterial SSU rRNA". It matches the Rfam family "Bacterial small subunit ribosomal RNA", at positions 28 to 484 of the family's 1533-position model. The record is from RNAcentral.
GACGAACGCUGGCGGCGCGCCUAACACAUGCAAGUCGAACGAGAGAGAGGAAGCUUGCUUCCUCAAUCGAGUGGCGAACGGGUGAGUAACGCGUGAGGAACCUGCCUCAAAGAGGGGGACAACAGUUGGAAACGACUGCUAAUACCGCAUAAGCCCACGGCUCGGCAUCGAGCAGAGGGAAAAGGAGCAAUCCGCUUUGAGAUGGCCUCGCGUCCGAUUAGCUAGUUGGUGAGGUAAUGGCCCACCAAGGCAACGAUCGGUAGCCGGACUGAGAGGUUGAACGGCCACAUUGGGACUGAGACACGGCCCAGACUCCUACGGGAGGCAGCAGUGGGGAAUAUUGCACAAUGGGGGAAACCCUGAUGCAGCGACGCCGCGUGGAGGAAGAAGGUCUUCGGAUUGUAAACUCCUGUUGUUGAGGAAGAUAAUGACGGUACUCAACA